This 461-nucleotide ribosomal RNA is filed under the name Lasiodiplodia theobromae. RNAcentral describes it as "eukaryotic LSU rRNA". The stretch from base 117 to 270 matches the Rfam family "5.8S ribosomal RNA". The record is from RNAcentral. Lineage: Eukaryota; Fungi; Ascomycota; Dothideomycetes; Botryosphaeriales; Botryosphaeriaceae.
CGACUCUCCCACCCUUUGUGAACGUACCUCUGUUGCUUUGGCGGCUCCGGCCGCCAAAGGACCUCCAAACUCCAGUCAGUAAACGCAGACGUCUGAUAAACAAGUUAAUAAACUAAAACUUUCAACAACGGAUCUCUUGGUUCUGGCAUCGAUGAAGAACGCAGCGAAAUGCGAUAAGUAAUGUGAAUUGCAGAAUUCAGUGAAUCAUCGAAUCUUUGAACGCACAUUGCGCCCCUUGGUAUUCCGGGGGGCAUGCCUGUUCGAGCGUCAUUACAACCCUCAAGCUCUGCUUGGAAUUGGGCACCGUCCUCACUGCGGACGCGCCUCAAAGACCUCGGCGGUGGCUGUUCAGCCCUCAAGCGUAGUAGAAUACACCUCGCUUUGGAGUGGUUGGCGUCGCCCGCCGGACGAACCUUCUGAACUUUUCUCAAGGUUGACCUCGGAUCAGGUAGGGAUACCCG